RNAcentral lists this ribosomal RNA (960 nucleotides) under Linnemannia biramosa. RNAcentral's name for it is "eukaryotic LSU rRNA". It matches the Rfam family "Eukaryotic large subunit ribosomal RNA", at positions 92 to 912 of the family's 3401-position model. The record is from RNAcentral. Lineage: Eukaryota; Fungi; Mortierellomycota; Mortierellomycetes; Mortierellales; Mortierellaceae.
AGUGAAGCGGGAUGAGCUCAAAUUUAAAAUCUGGCUGGUUUACUAGUCCGAAUUGUAGUUUAUAGAAGCGUUUUCGGUGGCAGCCUGGGUAUAAAUCCUUUGGAAUAGGGUAUCAUAGAGGGUGAGAAUCCCGUCUUUGACUCAGUGCAUGCUACUAUGUGAUACGUUUUCAAAGAGUCGAGUUGUUUGGGAAUGCAGCUCAAAAUGGGAGGUAAAUUUCUUCUAAAGCUAAAUACCGGCGAGAGACCGAUAGCGAACAAGUACCGUGAGGGAAAGAUGAAAAGAACUUUGAAAAGAGAGUUAAACAGUGCGUGAAAUUGUUGAAAGGGAAACGUUUGACACCAGUUAUGCGGGUGGAAAAUCAAUCUUUUGCAAUGGCAAGCUGUGGGCGUUCAGACCGCAAGGCUGGCGUUUGCUUCAUUGUUGUUGUAAGUGAUGCACUUUUUCAUUUGCAGGUCAACAUCAGUUUGUUUCCCUGGACAAAACCCCAAGGGAAGGUGGCAGCUUAAGCUGUGUUAUAGCCCUGGGGCGAUACAGUGGAAUGGACUGAGGUUUUCGCACCGUGUGCUUUCCGGCAAGGUCGACUGGGUGCUAUGGGAUCGUUUGGCGUACAAUGCAUGCAUUUUGCGCUUCCUCUUUUUCAUACUCGCUCAAAUCGUCUCUUCCACGCUUAGGAUGUUGACUUAAUGGUUUUAAACGACCCGUCUUGAAACACGGACCAAGGAGUCUAACAUAUAUGCAAGUGUUUGGGUGGCAAACCCAUGCGCGUAAUGAAAGUGAACGUAGGUGCGAUCCGCAAGGUGCAGCAUCGACCGAUCUUGAUAUUUUUGGAUAGAUUUGAGUAAGAGCAUAUAUGCUGGGACCCGAAAGAUGGUGAACUAUGCCUGAAUAGGGUGAAGCCAGAGGAAACUCUGGUGGAGGCUCGUAGCGAUUCUGACGUGCAAAUCGAUCGUCAAAUUG